Molecule: ribosomal RNA, 253 nt
Filed under: uncultured bacterium
Lineage: Bacteria
Description: partial 16S ribosomal RNA
Rfam family: Bacterial small subunit ribosomal RNA
Source: RNAcentral
UACAGAGGGUGCAAGCGUUGCUCGGAAUUAUUGGGCGUAAAGGGUAGGUAGGUGGUCUCAUUUGUCUGGGGUGAAAGCCUUGAGCUUAACUCAAGAAGUGCCCCAGAAACGGUGAGACUAGAGUCCUGGAGAGGGUCGUGGAAUUCCCGGUGUAGCGGUGAAAUGCGUAGAGAUCGGGAGGAACACCAGAGGCGAAAGCGGCGACCUGGACAGGUACUGACACUCAACUACGAAAGCGUGGGGAGCAAACAGG